This 253-nucleotide ribosomal RNA is filed under the name uncultured bacterium. RNAcentral's name for it is "partial 16S ribosomal RNA". It matches the Rfam family "Bacterial small subunit ribosomal RNA", at positions 524 to 776 of the family's 1533-position model. The record is from RNAcentral.
UACGUAGGGUGCGAGCGUUGUCCGGAAUUAUUGGGCGUAAAGAGCUUGUAGGCGGUUUGUCGCGUCUGCUGUGAAAAUCCGGGGCUCAACCCCGGGCCUGCAGUGGGUACGGGCAGACUAGAGUGCGGUAGGGGAGACUGGAAUUCCUGGUGUAGCGGUGAAAUGCGCAGAUAUCAGGAGGAACACCGGUGGCGAAGGCGGGUCUCUGGGCCGUAACUGACGCUGAGGAGCGAAAGCGUGGGGAGCGAACAGG